Molecule: ribosomal RNA, 495 nt
Filed under: uncultured bacterium
Lineage: Bacteria
Description: partial 16S ribosomal RNA
Rfam family: Bacterial small subunit ribosomal RNA
Source: RNAcentral
GAUGAACGCUGGCGGCGUGCUUAACACAUGCAAGUCGAGCGAAGCACUUAAGUUCGAUUCUUCGGAUGAAGACUUUUGUGACUGAGCGGCGGACGGGUGAGUAACGCGUGGGUAACCUGCCUCAUACAGGGGGAGAACAGUUAGAAAUGGCUGCUAAUACCGCAUAAGACCACAGGACUGCAUGGUACAGUGGUAAAAACUCCGGUGGUAUGAGAUGGACCCGCGGCUGAUUAGGGAGUGGGUGAGGUAACGGCCCACCAAGCCGACGCUCAGUAGCCGACCUGAGAGGGUGACCGGCCACAUUGGGACUGAGACACGGCCCAGACUCCUACGGGAGGCAGCAGUGGGGAAUAUUGCACAAUGGGCGAAAGCCUGAUGCAGCGACGCCGCGUGAAGGAUGAAGUAUUUCGGUAUGUAAACUUCUAUCAGCAGGGAAGAAAAUGACGGUACCUGACUAAGAAGCCCCGGCUAACUACGUGCCAGCAGCCGCCGUAA